GAGGAGCAAUAUGGGGUCUGAGCUUUUUGUGCUAGCAGCUUUCAGUCUCAAUGCUGCUCAGCUGACUGCGUGGAGAUUCUUGAGCAGAGACUUCCAGUUUUGGAUGCUUAGCUUCCAGCUGUGCACUGCAGCCCUGUCAAUAAACAUUCAACUCGAGAACGAGUGUUCCUUCCCUGCAGAUCUCCUGGGGAGGCUGAAGGUGAUGGAUGUCAGUGGCAGACGCACCACAAGUGCUGCUUUAUCUCCUAAAAAUUCUGAUGGCUCAAAGUUCUCCGCUCCUGGCUCCAUCUCCAGCAUCCCACAUGGAGCAAGGCAACCAAACCCCACGGGAUGUGCUUCGCUGCGUCAGGGCUCCCAGCAACGCGCACCCUGUGCCCACGAUGAGCAUGGAGAGAAAGGAGCAGCCGCUAACAGCACUCCAGCUCUGUGGCUCUGCCCCAUGGCCACGUUCUGGAUGUGACGGGCUGGAGCUGACGUGAGCAUAGUUGCAGUGCUCCUGCCUCCGUUACAGCCCCCAGCCCUGGUCUGCAGACAGCUGCCUUGCCAGCUCUCCCUGCGUUUGUUUAGGCAUUUCCCCAUCACCCCCAGCGUUCACUGGCUUGAACCUCGUGCACACUCUGUUGAACGCCCUCCCGUUUUUCCUGGCUCCAUCUCUGCUUUAUCAGGGCCGCUUUGAGCUCCGACCCUGCCUUCCCAUGCAGUGGUGGAGCCGCGGCAGCUCUCCCGCAGGUGGGGAGGUGGAUUGUGGCCAUUCGGAGCUGUGCACAGAUUCGGGAUGGAGCCGGGGACGCUUGUCCCACUGCCCCUUCCUCUGACGCUUCCCAUCCUCAGUCCUUAACAAAUUGAGGCAGUUCCACUUGAGGUGAAUGCCCAGGGAGUGCCGCUGCUUGAAGAUAAAAAGCAGGCAAACAGGGUCGCCAGCGUGCCCAGGGGAAAGAAAACAUCCCUGAGAGUCGGGGGGAAGCGGCACGGUGUGGCUCUGCACUGCCCUCCCCCCCGUGCUAUUGUUGUUGCCGUUCCCUCUUUUGACCUGAGCAGUUUGCAAAUAUUUUCAGUCCUGCCGGUUGUUUCCAUUAGUAAGAAAAAUCAAUGACACAGCCACAGAGCUGUCGCAGAGCGGCUCUUCACUAAAAACAGGCAGAGCACCGCUUCCCUGAACGCGGCUCUGCCUGCUCCCAACCCGAAGCUCCUCAAAGCCACCCCAAAAUCCCCCUCGUGGAGCUGGUGCUGCGGGCGCCCAGCCUGCCCUGCAGCUCCGACGGCGAUCCUCCUCCUUCCCAGCGCCGUGCCCCACAGCUCGCACCCGGCCACGGCUCGGCGCUUCCCGCUAAUGGGGAAGGCUGCUAUCAUUUCAUCCAGUCGCCGGAUAAUUUGCCAGGAAUGCCUAUUGAUUUCCUCCACUCCUCUGCGCGGGCAGGGGGAAAUAAGAGCCAUUCGUCAUUGCAUUAUGUAACGGUAAUUAAAAAUUACUAGUUAACCUCAACCAAAAAUUGAAUAAUUUGAAAUAAAAUUAAAUAAUUCUAGGUAAUCAGUACUGAAUGAGACCAUUAUUUUACUUAUCAGUAACUAAAAAUUACCCGGCGUUUCUCCUUGUUUGGAUGCUCUUCCUCCCCCUCUGUGUCAGUAGAGCCUUUCUAAUUUGUUUUAAUUGUUAAUUUU
Long non-coding RNA from Lagopus muta (rock ptarmigan), 1659 nucleotides. RefSeq lists it as uncharacterized. The transcript has 4 exons. The record is from RefSeq and is a predicted model, not a curated record. Lineage: Eukaryota; Metazoa; Chordata; Aves; Galliformes; Phasianidae.